Molecule: long non-coding RNA, 867 nt
Organism: Aquila chrysaetos chrysaetos
Lineage: Eukaryota; Metazoa; Chordata; Aves; Accipitriformes; Accipitridae
Exons: 3
Source: RefSeq, a predicted model, not a curated record
AAUAAAGAAGGGCCCCUUAGUUGAAAUGCAGGACUGAAGCUCUUCAUAACCACCGGGCAACUGUUACGAGGCAAAAAGAAAGUUAAAAGAGCCCCAGGUUUUGACAGUGAAAUCUCUUGUCUUUCUGGGCAAGCAUAUUCAGUGCCAUUUAAGAAAUUCCUGUGGACCUGCCUUUUUCAUGAUCUCUUCGUACAUGGAGAAAGAAGAAGGAAGGAAGAAGACUCAGAGGUAUAACGAAGAUUUCAACCACCAGAUGACUUUGCUCCUUCAUGGAAGGCCCCAACAGUGCUCAUCCAGGUUGGUGGACCAGCCCUGAAGAGGACCAACAAGACAACUAACAACUCAGAGUCGCAAAAUCUAAUUCUGAACAAAGCAAAUUCAAUGCUGUUGAAGUUUAGUUUCUCGUGGGUUAAAACUUGACCUCUUUGCCUUUGGAGACUGAGGUUCAGGUUCCAUUAAUUUACAGGAAAGAAUACAUUUGAUGAGUUCAUCAUAGCCUAUGGUGGGGAUAUUUUGUCACAGCAGAAAAUCACCGCACAAUACAACAUGAUUGGCAGCUGCUUCCUAAGAGCGGCCCGUGGCUGCGGUAGGAAACGUUGCAGCUGCUUGUGAUGGAGAGCCAUUGGCAGUCAGCGAUGGGGACUUGCCCACAACAUCCCUUUGAACCUUGCAGAGCACUGGCUAGCCUUCCACAUCCCUUGCUUUGGGGUUCACCCAAUUCUUUGCCUCACACCUACAACUUGGGAAAUAAAUUGCUUUACACCUCAUAGAUAAGCUAGUUUACAUAUAGGAGCAAUUGGAUAUCCAAAAUGUAUUUAUAGAUACAUCUGAACAAAAUGAUUGCAGGAGGACUGCACAGAGAAAUGC